ACAUAACAUUACACUAUGUUCAGAAGCAACAGCAUAGGUGGUCCAAAGGACACGUUGGCCUUGUAUUUUAGCCACAGCUGAAGUAUUCACGUGUCUAAUAAUUUUCAAGCAGAAAAUACUGAUAGUUUGGCUGAUUCGCUGCUGUAAUGUCGAACGUUGUGUUGGACGAUCGGACCAAACAAGGCGGCGACAAAAACCUUCGAGCACAGACCGCUGCAAAGCCGGAAAAUAACGUUGCUAGCUACCGAGUACAUGAUGAAAUACCAAGAAGGCAGUUGGGAGGAGGCAAAAUCAGGUGGGACCAUUCUAGCCAAUGAGGGCAGAUACCAAUGACUCCCGAGUGGCGAGUGGCGCAGCGGUCUAAGGCACUGCAUCUCAGCGCUAGAGGCACCACUACAGACACCCUCGUUCAAAUCCGGGCAUGAUUGGGAGUCCCAUAGGUCGGCACACAUAGGUCGGCACACAAUUGGCCAAGUGUCUGGUGUAGGCCGUCAUUGUAAAUAAGAACUUGUUCUUAACUGUCUUGCAUACUUAAAUAAGAUUAAAUGUAAAAAUUCUAAAUAUAUAUAUAAACCCUGGAUUGCAGAUGCUAUCCAUUGGCCUUCGAAGCCACAGAUUUGCCAUAUUGCCAAUAUAUCCUCAGAAAAGCAGUCCUCAAUAGUAAUUAAUGGAAUCCUACGGUAUUUCAAUUAAAUGGUUCAAUGACAAAAUUACUUGUAUUUAAGCAUGUUGUUGUUGUAGUGAGGACAGUAACAUUAGUACUCAAUAAAAAUAUAUACUUUAAGGAAG
Molecule: long non-coding RNA, 789 nt
Organism: Oncorhynchus kisutch (coho salmon)
Lineage: Eukaryota; Metazoa; Chordata; Actinopteri; Salmoniformes; Salmonidae
Exons: 2
Source: RefSeq, a predicted model, not a curated record